ACUGGGGCGCUAUGGUGCCUGGAGCUGGGCAGUUUUCUCGUCAGAGUGGGGACUGGUAAGAGCGACCUCCCCGCCAGGUCCUGUGUGUUGCCGGCUGAAGAAGGGUAGCUGAAAAAUUCAGACCCAGCACAGUGUUUAUGUUGGUCAAAAAUAGAAAACUAUGUCUGGCGCGGCCGAGGCGGGAGGACCCUUCAGGCCAAGAGCAGCGUAGCAACAUGGCGCAACCCCAUCUCUGUAGUCCUACCUCAGCCCCCCAGCUACUUGAACCCAAAGGUUCAAGGCUCCAGUGAGCUAUGAUCCCACCACAGCAUUCCAGCCUGCGAGAUUGAGAUGAUGAUUAUUCCCCACCUUCUAAGAGACAAAGACCAACGAGCCACCACAGCCACCAGUCCCAGAACCCGCCAAUGCUGGGGAACGGAAAAUGAGGGAGUUCAACUCUGAGAAAUGGAAUCAUCGUAUCGCUGAUCUACGUAAACAAACUGAAGAAUUGUCUGAAAGAAAAUAUGGUAUGUCUAAACUGGAAAAGUCCUGUAAUCUUAUGUUCAUGGGCGUUUACACAAUGGAGUUACUGUUCAUCAUGGGGGUACCGUGGACAAGCCCAGGGCUGCCGGUGAGUCAUGCCAUCCUUACACGUUUCUCCUUGUAAGACAUGAACUUAUGAAUUCAACAGGUGAAGAUUUACAACUUGAUAAAUCAACUUUGUGAGCUCGAGCUGUAAAAGCCAAAGGUCUGGUGAUGAUCCCAUACCCUUUUUUCCAGUCUCAUGUUGAAGAUUUUUAUGUAGAAGGCCUUCCCAAAGGAAUUUUUUUUUUUUUUUUUUUUUGAGAUGGAGUUUUCACUCUUAUCGCCCAGGCUGGGGUGCAAUGGCGCAACCUUGCUGGUCACUGCAACCUCUGCCUCCUGGGUUCAAGAAAUUCUCCUGCCUUAGCCUCCCAAGUCGCUGGGAUUAUAGGUGCCCACCACCACACCAGGCUAAUUUUUGUAUUUUUAGUGGAGAUGGGGUUUCACCAUGUUGGCCGGGCCAGUCUCGAACUCCUGAUGUCAAGUGAUCUUCCCGCCUCGACUCCUGACAUCAAGUGAUCUUCCCGCCUCGGCCUCCCAGAGUGCUGAGAUUACAGACGUGAACCCAUGCCUGGCCAGGAAUUUUGUUUUUUAGGAAGGCUUUCUACUAAUGGAAUUCCUGGCCUUGAGAGGAUGUUACUUUCGAAGGAAAGGAUUUUUUUGUUAUUAAAAGAGCCACCUAAGCUGAAGAUUCCCUUGAGAACAAGUACUGUCCUGCGGUUUCAUGGCCUUUCUUCCAUUUGUGGUUCUUGUGAAGUGGAAUUUAAAUGACAUCUUAUCAAGAUGGAUAAACCCUAGUUUCCCAGUGCUGGAAUAUAGAAAAUGGAUGGACAAGUAAAUCCCACUCAGCACCCAUAGUCCAGGCAUGGGGACCUCAACACACCUGAGCACCAGACAUCACCUUUCAUUCUGGACCUACCAUGAAAGACUUCUGAAUCCAGGAAGAGAAACUGACUGGGCAACAUGUUAUUCAGAGAUGGGACCUCAGUAUGUUGCCACGGCUGACCUUGAACUCCUGCACUCAAGGGAUUUUCCUACCCUGGCCUCCCAAAGUAUUGGUAUUACAGGCAUGAGCCAUUGUGCCCACCGUCUCUGGUUCUUAACCUUCUGCCUCCCUCUUCCAGUUUUAAAGAAUGCUUGUAAUUACAUGGGCUCUCCUAGAUACUCCAGGAUAAUCUUGUUUUAAGGUCAGCUGAUGAGCAACAUUAAUUUUAUCUGCACUAUUAAUUCCCCCUUCCUAUGUAAUUGUGCUGUGUAACAUAGGACAUGAGCAAUUGGUGGCGGUGGGGGUUAUUACUUUGGCCACCACAGUAACUAUUUUAUGCCAGGUACUCAGCUAAGCACUGGUGAAUUAAGCAUGAAUAACACACACUCCCUAAUCUCCAUCCAUUCAUGGGAGGAGCACUUCACCUGCCAUGCUCCUGAGAAUCUCGGGAGUCAGAGAAGUCUUCUAUGAGGAGGUGAUGCCAAAGCGGACAAGUGACAGAGGAGUCAAAGCUAGCUAGGAAGGGAGUAGAGGUUUAAGGGGAAGCAUAUUAUAAGCAGAGGAUAUUACCCACUUCAGAGACUCCCAGAGGAGAAAGAGUGUGCGUUCAAGAGGCAGAUGAGGCUCAGUUGGACUCCAUAGCAGAUGAAAUGGAGAGGGGCAAGCAGUGAGGCUGCCUUGCAAGGCAGGGCAGAGCAGGGGCUGUUAAGGAGUUUGGACUUAAUCCCUGAGGCAAGGAGAAGUGAUGUAAAUGGAGGAGUAACAUGAUGAGAUUCAUGGAUUAGAGACAUGGCUCAGGCUGCUGUAGAGAAGGCACCAGGGAGAGCAGAUGGCUCAAUGGGUGUGCAGGAGACCUCUCCCUGAGUUUAGGGAGAGGUUUUUAAAACAGAAGAAGUUUGAGUAAUUUAAAUGAUGAUGGGAAGGAGCUAAAAGUGGGGGAUAGGUUAAAGAUACAGGAAAGCAGGAGGAAGAACUGACAAGUGAGGUUCCAGAGAGGGCAGGAGAAGAGGAGAUUCCCAUAGGGGGAUUAACACUUUCUUUUCUUUUUUCUUUCUAAGACAGGGUCUCACUCUGUCGCCCAGGCUGGAGUGCAGUGGCACAAUCUUGGCUCACUGUAGUGUAGACUUCCCAGGCUCAAGGGAUUUCUCCCACCCCAGACUCCCAAGUAGCUGGAACUAUGGGUGUGCACCACCACCACACCUGGCUAAUGUCUCUUUUUUUUGGUAGACACAGAGUCUCACUAUUUAGCACUGAUUGGUCUCCAACUCCUGGCCUCAAGCGAUCCUCCUGCCUAGGCUUCCCAAAUUGCUGGGAUUACAGGCAUGAGCCACAAUGCCUGGCCUCUGCUAGUUCCGUAUUCUCUAGAGUUGUCUUUACUUUGUGCUAGUGUGUCCCUCAUUGUGCUGAUCCUCUGUAAAAAUUAAUACCUUUUUUUUUUUUUUUUUUUUUGAGAUGGAGUUUCACUCUUGUUGCCCAGGCUGGAGUGCAAUGGCACUAUCUCGGCUCAGCGCAACCUCCACCUGCCGGGUUCAAGCGAUUCUCCUGCCUCAGCCUCCCGAGUAGUUGGGAUUACAGGCAUGUGCCACCAUGCCCAGCUGAUUUUGUAUAUUUAGUAGAGAUGGGGUUUCUCUAUGCUGGUCAGGCUGGUCUCGAACUCCUGACCUCAGGUGAUCUGUCUGCCUUGGCCUCCCAAAGUGCUGGGAUUACAGGCAUGAGCCAUUUUGCCUGGCCAAAAUUAAUACUUUUUAUAUUAAAUUUACAUAUAUAUAUAUAUAUAUAUGUUUUUUCUUUUUGAUACCGGGUCUCACACUGUCACCCAGGCUGGAGUACAGUGGCACAACCUCUGCUCACUGCAGCCUCCACCUGCCAGGCUCAAGCAAUGCUCCUGCCUCAGCCUCCCGAGUAGCUGGGAUUACAGGUAAGUGCCACCACACCCAGCUGAUUUUUGUGUUUUUUGUAGAGACGAGGUUUCGCCAUGUUUCCCAGACUGUUCUCAAACUCCUGAGCUCAAAGCAGUCCACCCACCUUGGCCUCCCAGAGUGCUGGGAUUACAGGUGUGAGCCAUCUUGCUCAUUCUAGUUUAAACUUUUGAGUAGUUUGUGUCUCCUGAUUGGACUCCUACAAAUACAGAAUUGAUGCUAGGAAGGGUACCAGGAGAUAGACGCACACAGAUGGGAUUUGGGAAUAGGUUUGGUUAUCCAAGGAGCAGUGCUGAGCUCCUUGCUAAUGGGAUAUGGGAUGCUGGUGAUUUCCAGGAAGUGAGCUCACAAUGACUCAAGCUGCCACAUAGUGUUGAUUGUGAAAUGCCAGUUGAAGCAUAUGUCCUGCGAGCUUGGGGGUGCUACAAGUUGACCACUGCAGCAGUAAAGAUGACUCUGAAGAAUGGCGUGGGAUGGAUCCUUUCAAAUGCACUUGAGCAGCAGUCUCCAACCACAGGGCCACAGAGCUGGAGCUGGAUCUACCAUGAAAGACUUCUGAAUCCAGGAAGAGAGACUGACUGGGCAACAUGUUAUUCAGGGUCUCCCUCUGUUGUCCAAGGCUGGAGUGUAGUAGUGCUAUCACAGCUGACUGCAGCCUCAACCUUCUAGGCUGAAGCGAUCCUCCCAUCUCAACCUCCCACGUGGCUGAGACUACAGGUGCUUGCCACUAUGCCCAACUAAUAUUUGGAAUUUUCGUAUACGUGGAUUCCAGAGGGGUGACAGCGAAAUGUGACCUCACAGUGACUCAAGCUACCACUUACUGUUGAUUGUGACGAAAUGCCAGCUGAGGCACAUGCCUUGGGAGCUAAGUGGUUGCUGCACUUGACCACUGUGAAGACUGGUGUGGGAAGAAGGGUCGUUUCUGAUGCACUUGAGCAGGGGUCCCCAACCCCUGAGCCAUGGAGCCGCAAGGAGCCACACAGCAGGAGGUGAGUGGUGUCGAGUGAGGGAGUGAGGAAAGCUUCGUCUGUAUUUACAGCCACUCCCCUUUGCUCACAUUCCCGCCUGAGCUCCACCUUCUCAGAUCAGCAGCAGCAUUAGAUUCUCAUAGAACGCACCCUGUUGUGAACCGUGCAUGUGAGGGAUCUAGGUUGCGCUGUCCUUAAUGAGAGUCUAAUACCUAUUGAUCUGUCACUUCCUCCCAUCACGCUCAGGUGGGACCAUCCAGUUGCAGGAAAACAAGCUUAACACGCCCACUGAUUCUACAUUAUGCUCCUACCUCCCGGCAGCCUCUCCAGGCCCAGAACUUUCUCCAGUCAGCCUCUACAGACCAAGCUCAUGACUCACAAUGGCCUAUUUAGGCCCAUACCCUACCUCACGGCAGUCUCCGCAGAUGAGCCUACUGCCUCACAACAGCCUCCACAGGCACAGCUCCAUCGUUACAAUGGCCUCUUUAGACCCAGCUCCUGCCUCCCAGCCUUCUCUCCAGGCCCUGAACUUUCUCAAGUCGACCUCACCAGGCCCAGCUCAUGCUUCUUUGCAGCCUCUCCAGGCCCAACUCCUGCAUCUUGGUGGCCCCUCCAGGCCCAGCCUGUGCCUCCCGUCGGCCUCUACAAUCCCAACAUCUGCCUCACAGCAGAUUCUUCACGCCCAGCCUCUGCCUCACAGUGGACCCUCCAGACCCAGAUGGUGUCUCACUGUGGCAUCCUCAGGCGAAGCUCCUGCCUUUCAGCAGCCUCUCCAGGCCCAGCUCCUCCUGCCUCCCAGUGGCCUCUUUCGGCCCAGCCCAGCUCAUGCCUCCCGGCGGCCUUCCCAAGCCCCGCUUUUGACUUUUGGUGGCCUCUGCAGGCCUCGACAAGGCCCAGCCUCCUGCCUCCCGAAGGCCUGCACAGGCCCAGCCUCUGCCUCACAGCGGACUCUCCACGCCCAGCUAGCUCUCGCCUCACUGCGGCCUCCCCAGUCCAAAGCUCCUGCCUUUCGGCCACUUCGGCAGGUCCAGCUACUGCCUGCCAGUGGCCUCUUUAGGCCCAGCUCAUUCCUCACAACGGCCUUUCCAGGCCCCGUUUUUCCCUUCCGGCAGCCUCUUGGCUUCUAAUUUGUUUAUCUUUUGUGUAUAAAUCCCAAAAUAUGGAAUUUUGGAAUAUUUCCACCAUUAUAUAUUUUGGUCGGUAAUUUAUUUGGAGUGAGUUUCUGCACCAUGCCCGAAUUUUUUAUUUUAUUUUCCUUAUUAUUUGGUGUUAAACAGGUUUAAUGACAGUCAUGGCAACUUUUUGGCACAAUGAAAAAUAUCGCCCAUGAUCAACGUGUUCUGUUCUGGGGAAGGGGGCAAAGGCAGGGUGAAUCACUUUCUUAAAAAGUAUAGCUCAAGUUGGGAGUGCAGAGGGAAUGGGGAGAAAACCCUCCCGCUGCCUGUGUCGAAGUGCAGGAGCCCCCACCCCCAUACUCACCUGAGUCCAGCCCCUCUGGGGAAAGAAGGGGUGCAUGAACUCCCCCUAGUCCACAGGCGCCUCCCUGUGGCCCAAGGCCCUCUUCACACUCCAUCUUGUAGCCCCAGCAGGAGCUAUUUUCUGAAAAGUGAAAAGCUCUGAAGGUCCCACAAUUCAUGGUAUGUACAGGGGCUCGGAGGAGGGAAACUGCCCAGCUUUCCCCCGGCACAGCUGCAGGGGUAGGGGGUAUAGAUAAGAGGAGCAGGCCUUGGCCAGGCGUGGUGGCUCACGCCUGUAAUCCCAGCACUUUGGGAGGGGGAGGCAGGCAGAUCACGAUGUCAGGAGAUCGAAAUCAGCCUGGCCAAGAUGAUGAAGCCCCGUCUGUACUAAAAAUACAAAAAUUAGCCGGACGUGGUAGUGUGCACCUGUAAUCCUAGCUACCCGGAAGGCUGAGGCAGGAGAAUGGCGUGA
RNAcentral lists this long non-coding RNA (6362 nucleotides) under Homo sapiens (human). RNAcentral describes it as "non-protein coding lnc-TP53BP2-8:1". Lineage: Eukaryota; Metazoa; Chordata; Mammalia; Primates; Hominidae. The record is from RNAcentral.